AUUGAACGCUGGCGGAAUGCUUUACACAUGCAAGUCGAACGGCAGCACGGGGGCAGCCCUGGUGGCGAGUGGCGAACGGGUGAGUAAUACAUCGGAACGUGCCCGGUCGUGGGGGAUAACGUAGCGAAAGUUACGCUAAUACCGCAUACGAUCUGAGGAUGAAAGCGGGGGACCUUCGGGCCUCGCGCGAUCGGAGCGGCCGAUGUCAGAUUAGGUAGUUGGUGGGGUAAAGGCCUACCAAGCCGACGAUCUGUAGCUGGUCUGAGAGGACGACCAGCCACACUGGGACUGAGACACGGCCCAGACUCCUACGGGAGGCAGCAGUGGGGAAUUUUGGACAAUGGGCGCAAGCCUGAUCCAGCCAUUCCGCGUGCAGGACGAAGGCCUUCGGGUUGUAAACUGCUUUUGUACGGAACGAAAAGGCUCUGGCUAAUACCUGGGGCUCAUGACGGUAUCGUAAGAAUAAGCACCGGCUAACUACGU
RNAcentral lists this ribosomal RNA (483 nucleotides) under uncultured bacterium. RNAcentral describes it as "partial 16S ribosomal RNA". It matches the Rfam family "Bacterial small subunit ribosomal RNA", at positions 30 to 506 of the family's 1533-position model. The record is from RNAcentral.